The sequence is a small nucleolar RNA, 91 nucleotides long. It matches the Rfam family "Small nucleolar RNA R24". Rfam says of the family: snoR24 is a C/D box small nucleolar RNA which acts as a methylation guide for 18S ribosomal RNA in plants. The record is from Rfam.
AAAGCUGUGACUAGAUGAUAACAUGUAAAAAUAUCUUUCUUGUAGUGGAUCUUCAAUGAAAUUUUCUUGUUAAGUUUGGCUUCUUUGCUUU